AUGAGCGACUGUACAGUUUGUUAUUGAGAUGAUAGCCUUGAGGAUAGGAAAGAGAAUCAUGAGUCACCUUCCAAACAGGUUUGAGCUGGUGUGAGAUACUAGUACAAACAUAUUUUAGAAACUGGUCUAAACUAGUCCGUAAGAAAGAGUGGUAGGUGUGGAUUCAACAAAAUACCCUCACAUGCUAAGGAGAGAGUGAGCUGGACUAACAAGAAACUGUGGCUGCAACUGCCUGGGAAACAAAUACCAUGAGGAUUCACUAUGGAGGCAGCUUUGCCCAAAGAAGAAGAUCAGAGACAGAACUUUGCAGCCAUGCUAUUCAGUAAUGAAGAUGCAAAUUGUUGUUUAAUAUUCAACUGCUGCUUCCUGUGAAGGUCUGAACAAGUGACAGUGGCAAUGUUAGGAUUUCCUCAGAGAUCUUUUCUACUCGGCUUAGCCAGAACACCUCUCCAGUUCUGGGGAUAAUACUUUAUCCAGCUCUCUCGAAUCCAAGAAAUCAGCUCAACUCUGGACUCAUCACUACGGUUUCAUUAUUGGCAUACAAUCAAACUACACUUGAGUUGAUCAGGGCCAAGUGUAGCAGAUGGGUACAGGGUGUACCCAGGGGUGAAAGUAACUGAAAGGACUUCUGGUACGCUGAAGUCCUGAGUGGGGGCGUGACCUCAACCGGAAGAGGUAGCUGGGGCUGGGAGCUAUCACCCCAGAGCUACCAGCUGCCGAGGCGGCUGGAAGCCCGGGGCCUUUUAAAGCGCCUGAGCCCCA
Long non-coding RNA from Chelonoidis abingdonii (Abingdon island giant tortoise), 762 nucleotides. RefSeq lists it as uncharacterized. Lineage: Eukaryota; Metazoa; Chordata; Testudines; Testudinidae. The record is from RefSeq and is a predicted model, not a curated record.